UUUCCGUAGGUGAACCUGCGGAAGGAUCAUUAACAAUUUGUUAAUAACUUUUGUACCGGUGCUCUUCUGAGUGUCGGGGCAAUUGUCAACCAUUGUGAACUACCCGUUGCUUCGGCGGCAUGCCUGUGCUGUCAGUCCGUCCGGAGCCUACCAAAACUACUUCUGUAAACUUCAGUCAGAAACGAAAAGUAAAUCGUUAAAACUUUCAACAACGGAUCUCUUGGUUCUCGCAUCGAUGAAGAACGCAGC
Molecule: unclassified non-coding RNA, 249 nt
Filed under: uncultured fungus
Lineage: Eukaryota; Fungi
Description: sequence contains ITS1, 5.8S rRNA gene
Rfam family: 5.8S ribosomal RNA (bases 201-249)
Source: RNAcentral